CUCUCCCUCCAGGCUCUGACUGAAGGCUUAAUUCAGCUACCUUAUCUCUCUAGGUAUGUGGAGACCAAAGCCAAGGGGCUGUUUUCCUGCGGGAAUUUACACUGAUUCGAAGAGAGAGCCUUAAUGAAGAUUUCCUGUCUGACCUCUUGAAUAGUCACAAAACCGAAGAUCCGAUGAUCCCAUAUGGUCCUGUGAAAGAGAAGAAUUAACAGAGAGCAAAAGAACCUGGUCUGAAGUUUUACUCAGACCACAGUUUGAACAGCAGAAGAGUUUACCAUUCCACAUUUUCAAUCUUUAAAUCAAAUCCUUUGUGCAAAAUUUCAUUUCCUUCUUUCCCUCAAAAUCAUUUAGUUCCCACCUGAAAAAUCCAAAUAUCAUCUUUUUGUUUUGUUUUGUUUUUAUCAAAAUCUUCAAGUCUUUCAGGCAAAUUAA
RNAcentral lists this long non-coding RNA (432 nucleotides) under Urocitellus parryii (Arctic ground squirrel). RNAcentral describes it as "lncRNA (ENSUPAG00010018658.1)". The record is from RNAcentral. Lineage: Eukaryota; Metazoa; Chordata; Mammalia; Rodentia; Sciuridae.